CCCUGGGAUUCUGGUGCUGAUGGCGGGACUUCGGUUCAGGCGGAGGCAUCCUUACCAAGGAAUCUGCUUUUCAAGUAUGCCACCAACAGUGAAGAGGUUAUUGGAGUGAUGAGUAAAGAAUACAUACCAAAGGGCACACGUUUUGGACCCCUAAUAGGUGAAAUCUACACCAAUGACACAGUUCCCAAGAAUGCCAACAGGAAAUAUUUUUGGAGGGUAAGUAAGGGAAAUUUCUUCAGACCCAUUAAAUGUUAGGGAAAAAAUGGAGCUAAAAGAGCUGGGUGGCUCACCUUUCUCAUCCUGUGCUGAGAAAUGCUGGGGCUCACCCAUAAGUAUCCAGCAUCCCCAUGAACACGGAAUUCUGAACAAAUGUGAUGAAACCGAUUAAAUGUUUGGCCUGUAGGUGGUUAGUGAUGGAGAUACGGGCUAUAUAUGAAUCUUGAUUUUUACAAUUCAUUAGAGCUUUGUAAUGAAAGGAAACAGUUUGUUGCUUGCUUUAAGGAUAGGUUCAUUUGCAUUUCUCUGCAAGGAAGUAGUAAUGAGUCACCAAGCCUUAGAUUUUACCCCUUUUUGAUUUCUUGCUGACUUAACUUUAAUUGAAUGGAAGAGUUAUCACAAAUGAAUUAUCUUUUUGGUUUUUUUUUUG
RNAcentral lists this small RNA (646 nucleotides) under Pongo abelii (Sumatran orangutan). RNAcentral describes it as "retained intron". The record is from RNAcentral. Lineage: Eukaryota; Metazoa; Chordata; Mammalia; Primates; Hominidae.